Molecule: long non-coding RNA, 219 nt
Filed under: Hordeum vulgare
Lineage: Eukaryota; Viridiplantae; Streptophyta; Magnoliopsida; Poales; Poaceae
Description: long non-coding RNA (HVUL_LNC006643)
Source: RNAcentral
UACAUUACAUAGAAGGUCGGUGAGUCAUGCAGAAGUUGGCAAUUGCUACUACAUGAAAAUAGAGUUGCCACUUGCUAUGAGUUAAUUAAUGUUUUUCCUUUGGAAGGUUUAUUUGCUUAAUAAUGAUAUAAUAUGUACCUGUAUCCGGUAGAUUUGAAGAAGGUCCUUGUCCUUUGAGUGGGCGUGUAUUUCUUGUUGGAUGACUUUAUGAUAUAACUU